Molecule: small RNA, 127 nt
Filed under: Marmota monax (woodchuck)
Lineage: Eukaryota; Metazoa; Chordata; Mammalia; Rodentia; Sciuridae
Source: RNAcentral
GCCGGGUGUGGUGACGCAUGCCUGUGAUCCCAGCAGCUUGGGAGGCUGAGACAGGAGGAUCGUGAGUUCAAAGCCAGCCUCAGCAACUUAGAGAGGUGCUCAGCAACUCAGUGAGACCCUGUCUCUA